Molecule: ribosomal RNA, 1712 nt
Filed under: Plasmodium inui
Lineage: Eukaryota; Apicomplexa; Aconoidasida; Haemosporida; Plasmodiidae
Description: SSU rRNA
Rfam family: Eukaryotic small subunit ribosomal RNA
Source: RNAcentral
UCAAAGAUUAAGCCAUGCAAGUGAAAGUACAUGCAUAUGUUUAUAUGCAGAGACUGCGAACGGCUCAUUAAAACAGUUAUAAUCUACUUGACAUUUUUUCUAUAAGGAUAACUACGGAAAAGCUGUAGCUAAUACUUGCUUUAAUGCUCCCGACGUGUUACGUCUUGUGAGCAUGUACUUGUUAGGCCUUUAUAAGAAAAAAGUUAAUAACUUAAGGAAUGAUAACAAAGAAGUGACACAUAAAAAGGACUCGUCCCAUUUUCUAGUGUGUAUCAAUCGAGUUUCUGACCUAUCAGCUUUUGAUGUUAGGGUAUUGGCCUAACAUGGCUAUGACGGGUAACGGGGAAUUAGAGUUCGAUUCCGGAGAGGGAGCCUGAGAAAUAGCUACCACAUCUAAGGAAGGCAGCAGGCGCGUAAAUUACCCAAUUCUAAAGAAGAGAGGUAGUGACAAGAAAUAACAAUACAAGACCAAAACUGGUUUUGUAAUUGGAAUGAUGGGAAUUUAAAUCCUUCCCAUAAUACAAUUGGAGGGCAAGUCUGGUGCCAGCAGCCGCGGUAAUUCCAGCUCCAAUAGCGUAUAUUAAAAUUGUUGCAGUUAAAACGCUCGUAGUUGAAUUUCAAAGAACCGAUAUUUUAGUAAUGCUGUUAGCUAGAGCCACAAAAAGUCAAGCCACUAUGGUUUCGGUUUUAUGUGCGCAUCUCUACCUAUCAAGUGUUUUUUUAAUUAAAGUGUUUCUUUUUAAAAUCUUCUUUAGCUUAAAACAUAUGGAAGAUUUUGUUACUUUGAGUAAAUUAAAGUGUUCAAAGCAAACAGAUAUAGCAUAAUGCGUUUUGAAUACUACAGCAUGGAAUAACAAAAUUGAACAAGUCAAAACUAUGUUUCUUUUUUUUUAUUUUUGGCUCAGUUACGAUUAAUAGGAGUAGUUUGGGGACAUUUGUAUUCAGAUGUCAGAGGUGAAAUUCUUAGAUUUUCUGGAGACAAACAACUGCGAAGGCAUUUGUCUAAAAUACUUCCAUUAAUCAAGAACGAAAGUUAAGGGAGUGAAGACGAUCAGAUACCGUCGUAAUCUUAACCAUAAACUAUACCGACUAGGUUUUGGAUGAAAGUAAAACAAAUAAGGAUAGUCUCUUCGGGGAUAGUCCUUAGAUUUCUUCCUUCAGUACCCUAUGAGAAAUCAAAGUCUUUGGGUUCUGGGGCGAGUAUUCGCGCAAGCGAGAAAGUUAAAAGAAUUGACGGAAGGGCACCACCAGGCGUGGAGCUUGCGGCUUAAUUUGACUCAACACGGGAAAACUCACUAGUUUAAGACAAGAGUAGGAUUGACAGAUUGAGAGCUCUUUCUUGAUUUCUUGGAUGGUGAUGCAUGGCCGUUUUUAGUUCGUGAAUAUGAUUUGUCUGGUUAAUUCCGAUAACGAACGAGAUCUUAACCUGCUAAUUAGCGGCAAAUACGAUAUAUUCUUACGUGGAAUUGCAUACUUAUGGUUUGUCUCUAUUGAGCUGCAUAAUAAUGAAGGAUCGUGAUUGCUUUUCGUGUCAAUCUUUCUUAAUCGAAUCGUUGAUGUGUUUUGUAUUUCUCGUUCUUUCAUUACCUUGCAAUCACUCAUUUGCCUUAUCAUACUGUUUCUCUUUUGCGUAAGAAUGUAUUUGCUUGAUUGUAAAGCUUCUUAGAGGAACGAUGUGUGUCUAACACAAGGGAGUUUAAGGCAACAACAGG